ACUCUAUUAGUAUAAAUAUUACAUUUAGUUUCCACCUAAAAAAUCUUUUGAUAGAGUA
RNAcentral lists this transfer RNA (58 nucleotides) under Cacopsylla picta. RNAcentral describes it as "tRNA-Gly". The record is from RNAcentral. Lineage: Eukaryota; Metazoa; Arthropoda; Insecta; Hemiptera; Psyllidae.